CCUACGGGUGGCAGCAGUGGGGAAUAUUGGGCAAUGGACGCAAGCCUGACCCAGCAACGCCGCGUGAAGGAAGAAGGCUUUCGGGUUGUAAACUUCUUUUAAGAGGGAAGAGCAGAAGACGGUACCCCUUGAAUAAGCCACGGCUAACUACGUGCCAGCAGCCGCGGUAAUACGUAGGUGGCAAGCGUUGUCCGGAUUUACUGGGUGUAAAGGGCGUGUAGCCGGGCUGACAAGUCAGAUGUGAAAUCCCGGGGCUCAACCGCGGACCUGCAUUUGAAACUGUUGUUCUUGAGUAUCGGAGAGGCAAGCGGAAUUCCUAGUGUAGCGGUGAAAUGCGUAGAUAUUAGGAGGAACACCAGUGGCGAAGGCGGACUACUGGACGACAACUGACGGUGAGGCGCGAAAGCGUGGGGAGCAAACAGGAUUAGAUACCCGUGUAGUC
RNAcentral lists this ribosomal RNA (442 nucleotides) under uncultured bacterium. Its description in RNAcentral is "partial 16S ribosomal RNA". It matches the Rfam family "Bacterial small subunit ribosomal RNA", at positions 338 to 795 of the family's 1533-position model. The record is from RNAcentral.